RNAcentral lists this ribosomal RNA (264 nucleotides) under Triticum aestivum (bread wheat). Its description in RNAcentral is "partial small subunit ribosomal RNA". The record is from RNAcentral. Lineage: Eukaryota; Viridiplantae; Streptophyta; Magnoliopsida; Poales; Poaceae.
CUUCAAAAAUUUCUCCUUAUGCGUUCCUUCUCCUUUGUGAUUUGUUGUUGUAACUCGUUAUCAAUUGUUUCAUGCUUGCUCAGUCUAACUCUUAGUUCAUUCUAAGAGUUCAUCUUGGUAAUAUGGUCGACAUUAGCUUCGUGCUCUUUCAGUCUCUCAUUAAUAUGCCUCCAAUCACAAAACCCAUCAUUCCUCAUUGCAUUCGUGCAUUUAUCAGAAUUGAAAAGAUUACAGGAAAAGAAACACUCUUUUUGCGUGUUUUGA